UACGGGGGGGGCAAGCGUUGUUCGGAAUUACUGGGCGUAAAGGGCUCGUAGGCGGCCAACUAAGUCAGACGUGAAAUCCCUCGGCUUAACCGGGGAACUGCGUCUGAUACUGGAUGGCUUGAGGUUGGGAGAGGGAUGCGGAAUUCCCGGUGUAGUGGUGAAAUGCGUAGAUAUCGGGAGGAACACCAGUGGCGAAGGCGACUACCUGGCCUGUUCUUGACGCUGAGGCGCGAAAGCUAGGGGAGCAAACGGG
This 253-nucleotide ribosomal RNA is filed under the name uncultured bacterium. RNAcentral's name for it is "partial 16S ribosomal RNA". It matches the Rfam family "Bacterial small subunit ribosomal RNA", at positions 524 to 776 of the family's 1533-position model. The record is from RNAcentral.